UCUCCAACUAGAUCAUGAGCUCUUGAGCC
RNAcentral lists this non-coding RNA (29 nucleotides) under Homo sapiens (human). Lineage: Eukaryota; Metazoa; Chordata; Mammalia; Primates; Hominidae. The record is from RNAcentral.